AGGGGUCAGAGUCCAAAGAUCAUUCUUGUGGAAAUGACUCAACUGAAAUGUCCUGAAUGACAUUCAGGUAGGGCAAGACAAGAAGAACCUUUAAGGACUCAUUUCAACAGAUUCUAUUACCCAGGUUACCUUUACUAUACACUCUAAGUAACAGAACAAAAGAGUCUUGGAGUUGGAACAAACAGACUGUGAAAAGAAAUGGUAGUACUAGAUCAGAGAUUCUACACCUGGCAUCCAUAAAGAGAUUUCAAGGAGUCUGUGAACUUGGAAUGGUUUCUGAGAAACCUGAGAAGACCUGUAAGA
Phascolarctos cinereus (koala) is the source of this 303-nucleotide long non-coding RNA. RefSeq lists it as uncharacterized. NCBI's taxonomy places the organism in Eukaryota, Metazoa, Chordata, Mammalia, Diprotodontia, Phascolarctidae. The record is from RefSeq and is a predicted model, not a curated record.